Cydia pomonella (codling moth) is the source of this 3841-nucleotide long non-coding RNA. RefSeq lists it as uncharacterized. The record is from RefSeq and is a predicted model, not a curated record. Lineage: Eukaryota; Metazoa; Arthropoda; Insecta; Lepidoptera; Tortricidae. The transcript is spliced from 2 exons.
UACUGGUGCCGUGCUGUCUGUGCUCGUGUAGACCGGGUGGCAACUUCUAUUUGUUUAAUGACAGCUCUCUCUUAAUAUGUUGUAGUAAAAAGUCGCAAUAUCAAAAUAUUAAUCGUAAUUUGCUAUUUAAAAUGCUAUUAAAUGAAAUUAUUGUUUCUAAUUGCAAUACUCUGUAUACACAAAUUUAUAAUUAUUGUUCGUUACAUUAAAUGAAUCAAAUAAAUAACUUAUUCAACUUUUAAUAUGGCAAAGUCCAAAACACUAAAAUAUUGUACCCGGGUUAUAACAACUCAGGCGGGAUUCUACACUCUUCUUGACAUUCUGCUGACUGUCAGUUGUUGGGUGUCAGACCGUCAACAUCUCCAGCAUCUCCUGAGGAUGCCUCGUAGAGAGGCGAAACACGUGUCGAGUUUUGUACUUUUGGUGGUGGGUUGUUAUAUUUAUUUGCGUAUUUAUUUUUGCGGUGGGAGGGUGGGAACAUUAAUUGCAUUGAAAAAUACGCAAGUAAGUAUAACGGGUUAGCACUGAUUGACUAACACGUUAUUUUCUCGCGGAUUAGCAAAGUAAUGUUUCUUGCUUUAAUUAGCAUGGAUUUCCGCAAAGUAACGCCUGAUUCUAUUAAUUACAAGCAUUUUUGUACUGAAUAUGCUUGUGCCGCACACUGGUGGAAUCUUACCUUAAGGGCCACCCCACUCUAGCGUCUCCCAAGCGUCAGCGUCAGCGCUAUGGAAAAUGGCGUCGCUGAGCAGUUGCGCCAACGUUGCGUGGAGCAGCAGCCAUAGAGUUGGCUAGACGCCGACGCUCGGGAGUCGCUACUGUGGUGUGGCCCUAACAAGAGAGAAAAUAUUCCACUGUAAUGUAUGUAUAUACUUUAUUUUACAUAGAAAUAAAAACACGAGAAACGCAGUUACAGAAUUAAUUAAAUACAACAAAGGCGAACUUAUCCCUGUAUAACCUUUGAGGAAAUGAGUAGAACAGAAGUAACGAUCAAUGAAUGACAAACAAAAACAAAAGUCCGGAACGUCAGAUUUUGCAUUAUUUAUUUGACAUUUUUUUCUUGAUAAAUGAUCCAUGACAAUAUUUUGAAAAACAUUUUUAUGCUCGUGCGUCGUUUCGUAGCUUCUCGUCGAGCUCGGCUAAUAACGCGAGCGGCACGCUGUCUGCAGAGCAGUUUUUUGUCGCCACAAUACGCCGUAUUUCUUGCAGCGCAACAAAGCCGAUCUAAUGGACCCCGUCUUAGUCACUGAAACUUAUCAUUGCCAUAAUUACGCUAAUUUAUUAAACACGUGACACUUUUUAUUUCACAUUGUUUGAUAACUUGAGUAAUUAUAAUGCAGACAGGUGUUAAAAUGCCGUCAUGUUUGUCAAGGUCGGUAUAGUGAUUAUUUUGUCUAUGUUAUUAUAUUUUUUUGUUAAAUUUGUCACCUGUAAUGAUAAUUAUACAAUACAGUCUUUGUACAAUUCGUAGAUAAAUAAAUUCGAGGAAGAUUACGCCUACAAAUGUAGCCUUAUGUUGAUUUUUAAAGUUCAUUAAUAAUAAUAUAUUAAUAUAAUAAGUUAAUUAUAAUGGUACCUAUAUACUAGUAUGUACGAAUAAACUGUAUAUUUACCUCCGCCACAAAUCGAAAUUUUGGUGUCUUAUUCGCAAAAGCAACUUAUAUGCCGAUACUUAUAUCAAUAUGAACUCUAAACAUAAAGUACAAAGUAUUGUAGCUUUAGAAGUCUUUGCAAAAUACCUGCAGAUUGUAUGUAAAAUUAUUUAGAACUACAAAGAAAGGAUAAUUUAAGGACAGAAGCUGUAGUUAGAAACUCGGUUGACUAAGUCAAAUCAACCCGAGUCUAAUGACCAAAGUUAAUACAAAAAAUAUUCCAAUAGGUCAAAAUAAUUCAACGACUAGUACUUGCUAAUUAAUCAAUCAGUAAUUGUUUAGCGUGGGAAGAGUCAAUUGCUAGAAUCAAUAACGUGAGAAAUAAUACUAUUCGUAAACAUGAUUUGGUUCUAGAAUUUCUUAGUUAUUAUUGUACCCAACCAACUAAAAAAGAGGAAUAAAAACACAAAACACGUAUACAUUAGGUACUUUUUUUUAUCUAAUUUAAAGUUUUUAUCUACACACAUAUCAUAAACCCUCUAUGAUGCCUUCAAAAUCCGUAAAUAAUGGCCAACAUUACGAUAAACUGUUUUGUUACAACAAAUUUCUUAUCUGUGAUGAUGUUCUAAUAUCAGUCUACAUCAAAAUCGAUUUGGUUACGACUUCAAAUUUAGAACAUCUUUGAAAAAAAAAGGAAUUCCAUUUGACCUCUAUUCUAAUAUCAGUCGAGAUGCCUUUUUGUUCGAAAUGAAAUGUCGAAAACUCGCAUGUUAGUUUGUAUCGAAUGAUACGGAAAUAGGCCCCCGACUCUAGUUUGUCUCUGAAUUAAAAAAAAAACUACGAAUGCGAAAAGAGAAUGAAAAAGUUUUUAUUUGCCGCCAUUUGACGUACAGUUUAUCUAUUAAUUAGUUAUAAGCAGAAAUCGGCGGGGGUGAGCUGUUUUUACGUCAUUAAUGUCAUGUAGAUUUUAAUAUGGAUAUGGAGUAUCCAUAUACAAAUAUUAAAAGAAGACAAGACUAAAAUUAUUAAACUAACAUUAAAAUUCACUACAAAACGAGUGUCAUUUUUUUUAUUAUUGGAAAUUAAAUUUUCUGUGCUAUUGUAAUAAAUAACUAUAAGUUUUUCUAUAUUUUUAUUUUUUUCGCCUUAUGUAUAUACAAUAAGAUCUUUCUACAUCCACUGAUGUUUGUAGAGGUAUUAAGCCUAAGCAAUGUUUGUUAUCUAUGUGGAAAAAUUCAAGAAAUGUUUAUUGAUUUUCAGAUUUAGAUAAAUUGUUUGUCGUGGAAACUGUAGAAAAAUCUGUACUUCGUUUAACGUUACCGAACUAAAUAUGGUAAUAGGACGAAUAGCUUUGAGCGCGUAUUCCUCUUUUUCAUUAUUCACCUUUUUUAUUUUUUUUCGUUAUUGAUCAGUUUUAUCACGUUUGUACAGGCGGGAUUCUACACUCUUCUUGACAUUCUGCUGACUGUCAGUUGUUGGGUGUCAGACCGUCAACAUCUCCAGCAUCUCCUGAGGAUGCCUCGUAGAGAGGCGAAACACGUGUCGAGUUUUGUACUUUUGGUGGUGGGUUGUUAUAUUUAUUUGCGUAUUUAUUUUUGCGGUGGGAGGGUGGGAACAUUAAUUGCAUUGAAAAAUACGCAAGUAAGUAUAACGGGUUAGCACUGAUUGACUAACACGUUAUUUUCUCGCGGAUUAGCAAAGUAAUGUUUCUUGCUUUAAUUAGCAUGGAUUUCCGCAAAGUAACGCCUGAUUCUAUUAAUUACAAGCAUUUUUGUACUGAAUAUGCUUGUGCCGCACACUGGUGGAAUCUUACCUUAAGGGCCACCCCACUCUAGCGUCUCCCAAGCGUCAGCGUCAGCGCUAUGGAAAAUGGCGUCGCUGAGCAGUUGCGCCAACGUUGCGUGGAGCAGCAGCCAUAGAGUUGGCUAGACGCCGACGCUCGGGAGUCGCUACUGUGGUGUGGCCCUAACAAGAGAGAAAAUAUUCCACUGUAAUGUAUGUAUAUACUUUAUUUUACAUAGAAAUAAAAACACGAGAAACGCAGUUACAGAAUUAAUUAAACGAGUAAUUACAAAACGAGUGUCAUUUUUUUUAUUAUUGGAAAUUAAAUUUUCUGUGCUAUUGUAAUAAAUAACUAUAAGUUUUUCUAUAUUUUUAUUUUUUUCGCCUUAUGUAUAUACAAUAAGAUCUUUCUACAUCCACUGAUGUGAGUGGAGUGUAUAUGUAAUUGUACAUUAAAUGCUGUCACCGUC